CGAAGGGGGGAAGAUGGACUAGUCUAGGACUGUUGCUGGCUCAUUUGCAUGUGCACGUCUUUGCUAUCCCUGUCAACCUUUCUUCAAUAUUAUACACACACUUGUGCACUUAUUGUAGGUCCUCACAAGAGGAUCUAUGUUUUUCACAUCACAUCACCAUCGUAUGUCUAUAGAAUGUUAUCAAAGACCUUCCAUCGAAUCAGGCUUGUGCCUGGUUGGGCUGGUCGAUGAAAAAUCCAUAUACAACUUUCAGCAACGGAUCUCUUGGCUCUCGCAUCGAUGAAGAACGCAGCGAAUUGCGAUAAGUAAUGUGAAUUGCAGAUUUCCAGUGAAUCAUCGAAUCUUUGAACGCACCUUGCGCUCCUUGGUAUUCCGAAGAGCAUGCCUGUUUGAGUGUCAUUUAAUUCUCAACCAUGUCUUGAUUGACUUGGCUUGGAGUCUGGGGGUUGCUGGCAGACGUCAGCUCUCUUGAAAUACAUUAGCAAUCAUGCUAGUCUAUUGGCGUGCACGGCCUUUUGACGUGAUAAUGAUCGUCGUGGGCUGGAGCGACUGAUUAACUAGAUUGCUUCUAAUGGAAUAACUUGCUUUAGUUACUAGCUGGUCGCAAGACCUGGCGAACACAAAGUGGGUGUCAUUUUUU
RNAcentral lists this ribosomal RNA (640 nucleotides) under uncultured Suillaceae. RNAcentral describes it as "eukaryotic LSU rRNA". The stretch from base 245 to 399 matches the Rfam family "5.8S ribosomal RNA". Lineage: Eukaryota; Fungi; Basidiomycota; Agaricomycetes; Boletales; Suillaceae. The record is from RNAcentral.